GGCAAGAUAGUCCCUGGAGAAGAACUAAAGUACGUCAACAGCCUUGUCAGCGGAAAGACACUCCGUUGCAGUUACUGAAGAUUUGCGAGGUGACCAGUUUCCAGACAUUGGUUCGCUCCUGCUUGUGUACGAGAUUGGCCGAGACUAAAAAAACUGUAGUGUGCCACCUUAAGGUUUUAGUCAUUGGCUUGUAAGGCAAGAUAGUCCCUGGAGAAGAACUAAAGUACGUCAACAGCCUUGUCAGCGGAAAGACACUCCGUUGCAGUUACUGAAGAUUUGCGAGGUGACCAGUUUCCAGACAUUGGUUCGCUCCUGCUUGUGUACGAGAUUGGCCGAGACUAAAAAAACUGUAGUGUGCCACCUUAAGGUUUUAGUCAUUGGCUUGUAAGGCAAGAUAGUCCCUGGAGAAGAACUAAAGUACGUCAACAGCCUUGUCAGCGGAAAGACACUCCGUUGCAGUUACUGAAGAUUUGCGAGGUGACCAGUUUCCAGACAUUGGUUCGCUCCUGCUUGUGUACGAGAUUGGCCGAGACUAAAAAAACUGUAGUGUGCCACCUUAAGGUUUUAGUCAUUGGCUUGUAAGGCAAGAUAGUCCCUGGAGAAGAACUAAAGUACGUCAACAGCCUUGUCAGCGGAAAGACACUCCGUUGCAGUUACUGAAGAUUUGCGAGGUGACCAGUUUCCAGACAUUGGUUCGCUCCUGCUUGUGUACGAGAUUGGCCGAGACUAAAAAAACUGUAGUGUGCCACCUUAAGGUUUUAGUCAUUGGCUUGUAAGGCAAGAUAGUCCCUGGAGAAGAACUAAAGUACGUCAACAGCCUUGUCAGCGGAAAGACACUCCGUUGCAGUUACUGAAGGUAAAACGACAUCUUCAGUGGGCUAGAUUUGCGAGGUGACCAGUUUCCAGACAUUGGUUCGCUCCUGCUUGUGUACGAGAUUGGCCGAGACUAAAAAAAACUGUAGUGUGCCACCUUAAGGUUUUAGUCAUUGGCUUGUAAGGCAAGAUAGUCCCUGGAGAAGAACUAAAGUACGUCAACAGCCUUGUCAGCGGAAAGACACUCCGUUGCAGUUACUGAAGAUUUGCGAGGUGACCAGUUUCCAGACAUUGGUUCGCUCCUGCUUGUGUACGAGAUUGGCCGAGACUAAAAAAACUGUAGUGUGCCACCUAAUUACG
This is a long non-coding RNA of Dreissena polymorpha, 1173 nucleotides long. RefSeq lists it as uncharacterized. NCBI's taxonomy places the organism in Eukaryota, Metazoa, Mollusca, Bivalvia, Myida, Dreissenidae. The record is from RefSeq and is a predicted model, not a curated record. The transcript is spliced from 12 exons.